Molecule: long non-coding RNA, 558 nt
Filed under: Heterocephalus glaber (naked mole-rat)
Lineage: Eukaryota; Metazoa; Chordata; Mammalia; Rodentia; Bathyergidae
Description: lncRNA (ENSHGLG00100040219.1)
Source: RNAcentral
CUCUACUUCACAGACACGAAAACUGGUGGCUUCGUAAAGCAGGGCAACUGUGAGAGGAUUUCACCUUCAUCUUGGAGAGCAGAGGGCCCUGCAACUGCUCUGGACACCCCACCCUCACCUGUGCUGCAGGGGCAGCUGGAGGCCAAGCUGAGCUGGGCCAGGAGAGUGAAACUGAGGAGAUAGCAGCCUUAUCUUAGAGAAAUGAAACACCUCGUAGAAUGAACAACCAUGGACUCAGAUGAUGGAUUCACUGCAAGCAGCACGAUGUGACACCCCUGCUGAGAGCCAUGAAAAGGCUGCAUCUGAGCUACUCUCCUCACCUGUGAUGGCCCUUGGACCUGCAAAGAUCACUGGACCUGAAUCACUGCUUGCCGAUGAGACCCAGGAGCAAACAGGGCUCAAAGACAAUCGCAGCUCAGCCUGAUGCAGCUGCUAUUUCCAGAGAAGUGGGGACAUGCAGAGGACUGUAAUAUUGAUUGUGCUCAAAGCAGGCUGUGAAGAGUUAACCCCACAACUGACUUAUUUUGAGAAGUGAGUCCAGCCAAAGCCUACAUGCCA